This 23-nucleotide non-coding RNA is filed under the name Mus musculus (house mouse). The record is from RNAcentral. Lineage: Eukaryota; Metazoa; Chordata; Mammalia; Rodentia; Muridae.
UGAAGUGUUAGGCAGGUGGGCCA